AGCUUGUUCGCUGGCUUGCUGCAUCAGUGAUUGUAGGAAAGCUUUCCCUUAGAUUCAGUAAUUCGGACUUGUGUCAUUCCUUUGACAGAUCUAAGCUCAAUAACCUGCUUUCUCUGAUGGAAUGGAAUGAGCAAAGAUGUGAGGAAACCAACAGGCAUUUGCAUGUGAAGGAACUUUGGGAAUGAGCAAAGAUGUGAGGAAACCAACUGGGCAUUUGCAUGUGAAGAAACUUUGGCCUCAUCCAUCUUUUUUCUGCAACAGCUACAAUGUACAAACUAUAUAGUACUUCCAUCUGUUGUUUCUGCACUCUGUCUGC
This 316-nucleotide long non-coding RNA is filed under the name Nicotiana benthamiana. Its description in RNAcentral is "long non-coding RNA (NBEN_LNC006520)". Lineage: Eukaryota; Viridiplantae; Streptophyta; Magnoliopsida; Solanales; Solanaceae. The record is from RNAcentral.